Molecule: ribosomal RNA, 72 nt
Filed under: Gilbertiodendron diphyllum
Lineage: Eukaryota; Viridiplantae; Streptophyta; Magnoliopsida; Fabales; Fabaceae
Description: partial 26S ribosomal RNA
Rfam family: Eukaryotic large subunit ribosomal RNA
Source: RNAcentral
AAUGCGACCUCAGCUCAGGCGGGGCUACCCGCUGAGUUUAAGCAUAUCAAUAAGCGGAGGAAAAGAAACUAA